GGGGUGGUGGCGCAGUUGGCUAGCGCGUAGGUCUCAUAGCUGUUAUAAUAUGCGAGUGAUCCUGAGGUCGAGAGUUCGAGCCUCUCUCACCCCA
This is a non-coding RNA of Hordeum vulgare subsp. vulgare (domesticated barley), 94 nucleotides long. The record is from Rfam. Lineage: Eukaryota; Viridiplantae; Streptophyta; Magnoliopsida; Poales; Poaceae.